GCCGCCUUAGCUCAGCUGGUAGAGCAACGCAUUCGUAAUGCGUAGGCCCCCGGUUCAAAUCCGGGAGGCGGCUCCA
Molecule: transfer RNA, 76 nt
Filed under: Minisyncoccota bacterium
Lineage: Bacteria; Bacillati; Minisyncoccota
Description: tRNA-Thr
Rfam family: tRNA
About the family: Transfer RNA (tRNA) molecules are approximately 80 nucleotides in length.
Source: RNAcentral